GAGGUGUGCUCAGAGCAGGUGGCUUCUCUGUUUACAACACACCCAACGGGAAUUUAGGGUUAUUGGGACAAGGGGCACAAAACUUGAGACUUCUCUCUGAGCAAACAUCCUACACAU
This 117-nucleotide small nucleolar RNA is filed under the name Chinchilla lanigera (long-tailed chinchilla). RNAcentral's name for it is "Small nucleolar RNA SNORA11 (ENSCLAG00000020849.1)". It matches the Rfam family "Small nucleolar RNA SNORA11". Rfam says of the family: U107 (SNORA11) is a member of the H/ACA class of snoRNAs that guide the sites of modification of uridines to pseudouridines. This snoRNA was identified by RT-PCR from blood cells and its expression confirmed by Northern blot analysis. There is no predicted target for this guide snRNA. The record is from Rfam by way of RNAcentral. Lineage: Eukaryota; Metazoa; Chordata; Mammalia; Rodentia; Chinchillidae.